This 115-nucleotide non-coding RNA is filed under the name Candidatus Brocadia. RNAcentral's name for it is "c-di-GMP sequence". It matches the Rfam family "c-di-GMP-I riboswitch aptamer". Rfam says of the family: GEMM was predicted in a large-scale screen for bacterial structured RNA regulatory elements. Genes associated with GEMM are involved in a diverse array of functions, including chemotaxis regulation, signal transduction, secretion and chitin. Lineage: Bacteria; Pseudomonadati; Planctomycetota; Candidatus Brocadiia; Candidatus Brocadiales; Candidatus Brocadiaceae. The record is from RNAcentral.
GUUCGGUAAAGGCAAACCCGGAGCGAUCCGGGAACGCAAAGGAGAGAGCCUUAUAUGCCACAGAAACAGUUUAAACUGUUUCCGUGGGUGACGGAAAGACCGCCUCACUGCCGAA